AUUGAACGCUGGCGGCAUGCCUUACACAUGCAAGUCGAACGGCAGCACGGGGGGUAACCCCUGGUGGCGAGUGGCGAACGGGUGAGUAAUAUAUCGGAACGUGUCCUGUAGCGGGGGAUAACCUAUCGAAAGAUGGACUAAUACCGCAUACGACCUACGUGUGACAGCGGAGGCCCGCAAGGCUUCGCACUAUAGGAGCGGCCGAUAUCGGAUUAGCUAGUUGGCGGGGUAACGGCCCACCAAGGCAACGAUCCGUAGCUGGUCUGAGAGGACGAUCAGCCACACUGGAACUGAGACACGGUCCAGACUCCUACGGGAGGCAGCAGUGGGGAAUUUUGGACAAUGGGCGCAAGCCUGAUCCAGCCAUGCCGCGUGAGUGAAGAAGGCCUUCGGGUUGUAAAGCUCUUUCGGCGGGGACGAAACGGUUCGUGCUAAUACCACGGACUACUGACGGUACCCGAAGAAGAAGCACCGGCUAACUACGUG
Molecule: ribosomal RNA, 486 nt
Filed under: uncultured bacterium
Lineage: Bacteria
Description: partial 16S ribosomal RNA
Rfam family: Bacterial small subunit ribosomal RNA
Source: RNAcentral